RNAcentral lists this transfer RNA (55 nucleotides) under Philometroides sanguineus. RNAcentral's name for it is "tRNA-Val". Lineage: Eukaryota; Metazoa; Nematoda; Chromadorea; Rhabditida; Philometridae. The record is from RNAcentral.
AGACUUGUAGUUUAUUAAAGAAUACUUUGUUUACACCAGAGUGGUAGAAAGUCUU